GUGAUCCAUAGUGCAGUUGUUGGGAAAAUACCACAACAAAAAUCUUAUUGUGAUUAAAAUCUAAAUAGUUCUGUGAUGAAAAUUAAUAAAUAAAUCAACAUACAGAUAAACACAAAUAUCUCAAUAAAGAUUUCAUCUUAUCCGCAAGCGUGCAAGGCACUGCCCUAAGGCGUAUUUUCGUCCUUACAUGCGGGAUUAAUCAGGAAUAACAUUCCAAGGUACCAUCGGAAAUAAUCCUCCUGCGAACACGAUCGUGAAAGAGGUUGACGGAGAUUUUUUCAACACCAAGUGGAUAAGGAAAAUGUUCGAAAAGAUGAAAGAUAGAAAGAAUAAAUGAAUAAGGAUUAAUCAAUUAUCUAAUAUCUUUUCUACCUACUCUGUCUGAACAGAGGAAGAAAAGAGGAAGGGAAUUUCACGCUCUUUUUCGUUACGAGAACGUGAUUCCGUUUGGCUGAAGAAACGGAAUGGAAAAAUAUCCCGUUGGUUUUUUUUUCACUAAGAAAAGAAAUAAAAUAAAUAAAUAAAAUAAUAAACUUAACAAAUAAAAAUUUCGAUAAAAUAGUAAAUAUAUAAAUUCAAAUUUUAAAUGGAAUAAAAUUCAUUUUAAACUUUUGAGUUUUUCACCAACAAUGCCCCACAAAACUCAAAAUUUUAAAAUAUAAUUAAAGUCAAAAAAAAUUACUGGGUAUUUAUACUAUGCAAUGAGUUAGGUAUCUUUAAGAAACUUAAUUCCACUUAGUGUAAGUAAUUCCUUCAAAAGGAAUCGGAGUGAAUCAGAUCUUGAAUUACGUUUCUUCGACCCUAACUUCAACCACCACACAUACAGUAUAAAAUUCUCCGUCGCAGAUUUGUGCGUUAAUGGCCAUACACAGUAUCUUGAUUUUUCAUAAGAGUUUCUAAGGAUAGCCCACAUCCCAUAGCCGCGGCCACAUACGGAUACUCUUAUAUAUGUGGUUUUCUUCAGAAAUGUGUGUAGAGUCACAUCAAGUAGAAAUUACCGCCUUGGAUCCCAUUAAAAGCUAUUAACUCAACCUAAUCCACUAUACAGAGCACUACUCACCAUAGCAAUGGGAUUUGAACUAAAACUCCUCUAUAAAAUUUGUAGAAAAUAAUUUUUGGCCAACCUGACAGCUUGUUUUUACCAUAUUGAAUCUUUUUCAAAUGAUCUCCUAUCACAAAGGUUGAGCUCCCACUGCAGGAAGGUCCUUUAUGGGCAAAGCCCCAUCCCCUCAAUGAUAUCAGGACCUUAAUCCUAUUCAGACCUUUUAUUAAGUAAUCUGAAAAAUUUUAUUAGAUCUGAUAAAAUUUAAAACAAUAAUAUUAUGAGAAAUUAGUUAUCAGAUAAUCUUUUAU
Molecule: long non-coding RNA, 1353 nt
Filed under: Ananas comosus (pineapple)
Lineage: Eukaryota; Viridiplantae; Streptophyta; Magnoliopsida; Poales; Bromeliaceae
Description: long non-coding RNA (ACOM_LNC003475)
Source: RNAcentral